This 75-nucleotide transfer RNA is filed under the name Phycisphaerae bacterium. RNAcentral describes it as "tRNA-Met". It matches the Rfam family "tRNA". From Rfam's summary of the family: Transfer RNA (tRNA) molecules are approximately 80 nucleotides in length. Their secondary structure includes four short double-helical elements and three loops (D, anti-codon, and T loops). Lineage: Bacteria; Pseudomonadati; Planctomycetota; Phycisphaerae. The record is from RNAcentral.
CGCGGAGUGGCCGAGUGGCAGCGCGGCGGACUCAUAAUCCGCAGGCCGCGGGUUCGAUUCCCGCCUCCGCUACCA